This 253-nucleotide ribosomal RNA is filed under the name uncultured bacterium. RNAcentral's name for it is "partial 16S ribosomal RNA". It matches the Rfam family "Bacterial small subunit ribosomal RNA", at positions 524 to 776 of the family's 1533-position model. The record is from RNAcentral.
UACGGAGGGUGCAAGCGUUAAUCGGAAUUACUGGGCGUAAAGGGUGCGUAGGCGGUUGUUUACGUCUGUUGUGAAAUCCCCGGGCUCAACCUGGGAAUGGCAAUGGAUACUGGGCAGCUAGAGUGUGUCAGAGGAUGGUGGAAUUCCCGGUGUAGCGGCGAAAUGCGUAGAGAUCGGGAGGAACAUCAGUGGCGAAGGCGGCCAUCUGGGACAACACUGACGCUGAAGCACGAAAGCGUGGGGAGCAAACAGG